Molecule: unclassified non-coding RNA, 1383 nt
Filed under: Athalia rosae (coleseed sawfly)
Lineage: Eukaryota; Metazoa; Arthropoda; Insecta; Hymenoptera; Athaliidae
Description: misc RNA ENSAEAG00005010967.1
Source: RNAcentral
ACACAUCAACUCGUUGAUUCAAAUUGAAUUGCUCAAAAACUAAAAUGAAUAAGACAUGGAUGAAUAAUCGGUCUAUCUAAACUCUGCAAUUAUCUAGAUUAAAAACAAUGAAUUCAAUCAAAUAUUAGUCUACUUUGAACAGUUAUCCAGUUCAACGUAGAAGUGUAGUGCACAGCACUAUCAUAUUAAAGACUAAAGAUCCACACAACAAGACAGGUGAUCGGCAGUGUUUGAUAUUUGGAUUAUCAUUUUCAAUAGCUUUCUCCGCCAUACACGACGCCAUCGUUGCUGCUCUCGGAAUGGGCGGUAUUGCUUGGAGCUUCUUAUUUUUGGGUGAUUCUAGUUUCUUCAAAGAUACAAUCGGCUUCAUUCCAACGUUUCAGUUCUUUGAAUGGCAACAGGAGGAUUAUGAAGACCCAAAAAAAUGCUGCCACCAUAUCGAGGCCCUGUUUAUUAGGCGGGCUUGCCAGACACGCACCUAACUGUAGUAGCAUUCCUACAAUUGGAAGUGGCCAGAACGCAAAGUCAUAAAGCAGAAUGGAAUUUAAGAGUAUUAAUGAAAUGCGGAAUAUACGUUCCCACUUUUCUCCAUUCUGCAAAAGGAAGAUCUUCUUAGUACACAGUAUUGAAAUAGAAGUCCUAGAAAGAUAUUGGAUUUAAGGAUUUUUCUCUUACAUUGAUUAUGUUUUGAAUCGGUUUAUUCUUGAAGAAUGCCAUUUUGUACUGUAAAAGCCAUGAGGCCUGUUUACUCAGCACUGCUUCAACAAAUUUAGAACACUUUGGGCACAAACUAUAUUUUUCUUCUAAAUGUUGUUUGAAAACAUCCAGUUCUAAGUUAUAUUCAUUGUGGUUAGAAGGUUCAAAAUUUGCCAGCUCCAACAUUUUCUUCUCUUCAUUUUUGUUGCACUUCACACAAAGUCCAUUAUUACCAUCCAACCGUUCUGCACUAGAUAGCUUUGAGUAUCGUACAAAAUUCUUUGCUGGGCUUUUAUAUUGUUCAGGUAUCUCAAAGUUGUAAUCCCCAUUCUGUGAAAAGUGUAAGAAAAAACAUGUUUAAUCAAUUCAAUCUAAUAGAAGUGUAAGAACUAAAGACCGUAUGUAUAAAUUUAUUGCCUUUGAUCAAAAAUUUGGAGGCUUUUGGUUUGUAACUAAUGAAAAAAUGAAGAAAACUUAGGCUAUUAUCUGACAAUCUUCGCUACUAGGUACCUUAGUAAAUCCAUUAUGCUGUUCACAAAAAGAGCAGAGCCACCAGUCACGUUGUUGUCUAUAAAUUUUUGAGUCAUUAUUGCAGAACCAGCAAUUCACUUUGACAGGCCAUCUGUUCCUGGGAACAUUUCAAUUGGAGCAUUAUAUAUACAUCAAGGAGAAUACAAUGAAUCGAAC